This 330-nucleotide long non-coding RNA is filed under the name Sorghum bicolor (sorghum). Its description in RNAcentral is "long non-coding RNA (SBIC_LNC009262)". The record is from RNAcentral. Lineage: Eukaryota; Viridiplantae; Streptophyta; Magnoliopsida; Poales; Poaceae.
CAGCCAGGAUCACCGGUGGUCAUAGCUCCGUCGGCUGCUACAGCCGCUGCAGGCACACAAACUACCGUUCCUCCAAGCACGUUAGGAGUCACUAAUGCACAAUCUACACCGAUGACGACUAAUCCACCAACUUUAGACGGGCAGAUCAAGCUUGCUACAGAUCUAUUGGCAUCGGCAAUGUCGGGAUCGGUUCAUCCUCCUAACUGGUGGGGUUUUGGUAUGCCCCCGGAGUUCACGCUGAAGACACCUGGUACGUCCCAAGCGGUUGAUAUGAGAGGCAAGGCUCCUAUGGCAUCGGCACCUCCAAAUAUGCCGAUGAAUCAAAGUCCC